This 253-nucleotide ribosomal RNA is filed under the name uncultured bacterium. RNAcentral's name for it is "partial 16S ribosomal RNA". It matches the Rfam family "Bacterial small subunit ribosomal RNA", at positions 524 to 776 of the family's 1533-position model. The record is from RNAcentral.
UACGGAGGGUGCGAGCGUUGUUCGGAAUUAUUGGGCGUAAAGCGCGUGUAGGCGGUUUGGUAAGUCAGAUGUGAAAGCCCUGGGAUCAACCGAGGAAGUGCAUUUGAAACUACCAUUCUUGAGUAUGGGGGAGGAGAGUGGAAUUCCCAGUGUAGAGGUGAAAUUCGUAGAUAUUGGGAGGAACACCCGUGGCGAAGGCGACUCUCUGGACCAAUACUGACGCUAAGACGCGAAAGCGUGGGGAGCAAACAGG